UGGGGGAUAACGUUCGGAAACGGACGCUAAUACCGCAUACGUCCUACGGGAGAAAGCAGGGGACCUUCGGGCCUUGCGCUAUCAGAUGAGCCUAGGUCGGAUUAGCUAGUUGGKGGGGUAAUGGCUCACCAAGGCGACGAUCCGUAACUGGUCUGAGAGGAUGAUCAGUCACACUGGAACUGAGACACGGUCCAGACUCCUACGGGAGGCAGCAGUGGGGAAUAUUGGACAAUGGGCGAAAGCCUGAUCCAGCCAUGCCGCGUGUGUGAAGAAGGUCUUCGGAUUGUAAAGCACUUUAAGUUGGGAGGAAGGGUUGUAGAUUAAUACUYUGCAAUUUUGACGUUACCGACAGAAUAAGCACCGGCUAACUCUGUGCCAGCAGCCGCGGUAAUAC
RNAcentral lists this ribosomal RNA (394 nucleotides) under uncultured Pseudomonas sp. Its description in RNAcentral is "bacterial SSU rRNA". It matches the Rfam family "Bacterial small subunit ribosomal RNA", at positions 137 to 526 of the family's 1533-position model. The record is from RNAcentral. Lineage: Bacteria; Pseudomonadati; Pseudomonadota; Gammaproteobacteria; Pseudomonadales; Pseudomonadaceae.